GGCUUUGGAACCCGGAAGCAGUUGGCAGCUCUCGAAAGCGGCCGCGGAUCGGGGAAUUCUGCUGGCGCCACCGCUGCAGAAUGUUGGAGAAGCAACAUAAUGAAGUGGUUGAGAAUCUGCUGUGGCGCCAGGAGAGUUACUGCAAUUACUAAAGACAAUUUGGAGAACGGAAGUUUUGUGUGCCAAUUUUCAGUGUGAAAAAACAGUUGGAUGUAAAGAAAAGUAAAUUCUGUGAAGCUGAUGUCUCCAAUGACCUUCGAAAAGAAGUAGAAAAUCAUUAUAAGCUCUCUUUACCUGAAAAUUUCUUUCACUUCUGGAAGUUCUGUGAAGAACUUGAUUCUGAAAAACCAGCUGAUUACUUUUGAUGAAAAAAACGUAAAGAAGUUAACAGAUGAAAAGAAAACCAAUCUCUUGAAAAACAUAGAUGAAAAACUCACAGAAACAGCCAGAAAACUGGGGUACUCACUGGAACGGAGAACCAUGAAGAUGAAACAGAGAGAUAAGAAAUAUUUUCAUAAAGUUGCUGGCCAGCUUUUACCUCUUGCAUAUAAUCUGUUGAAGAGGAAUCUGUUUGCAGAAACUAUUAAGGAUCAUCUGGCAAACAGAAGUAAAGAGAACAUAGACCAACUUGCUGCAUGAGUAAGGUGGCUUGUUUGGUGUACAGUAUU
Long non-coding RNA from Cercocebus atys (sooty mangabey), 668 nucleotides. RefSeq lists it as uncharacterized. The record is from RefSeq and is a predicted model, not a curated record. The transcript has 4 exons. Lineage: Eukaryota; Metazoa; Chordata; Mammalia; Primates; Cercopithecidae.